UACGUAGGGCGCGAGCGUUGUCCGGAAUUAUUGGGCGUAAAGAGCUCGUAGGCGGCUUGUCGCGUCGGAUGUGAAAGCCCGGGGCUUAACUCCGGGUCUGCAUUCGAUACGGGCAGGCUAGAGUUCGGUAGGGGAGAUCGGAAUUCCUGGUGUAGCGGUGAAAUGCGUAGAUAUCUGGAGGAACACCGGUGGCGAAGGCGGCUCACUGGACCGAAUCUGACACUGAGGUGCGAAAGCUAGGGUAGCAAACGGG
This 253-nucleotide ribosomal RNA is filed under the name uncultured bacterium. Its description in RNAcentral is "partial 16S ribosomal RNA". It matches the Rfam family "Bacterial small subunit ribosomal RNA", at positions 524 to 776 of the family's 1533-position model. The record is from RNAcentral.